This is a non-coding RNA of Podarcis lilfordi (Lilford's wall lizard), 1282 nucleotides long. NCBI's taxonomy places the organism in Eukaryota, Metazoa, Chordata, Lepidosauria, Squamata, Lacertidae. The record is from the annotation of a GenBank genome assembly.
CCUGAUUCAAAUAUAGACCACAGAGGAAAGGCAUUUCUUCUUCAAACAAUGCAGAUGCUAUAAUACAGGCAUGCAAAACAGUUCACCAUUUUUAAAGGCUAGUACAGGGCCAUAUUUUGACCAAAGCGCUCAAUCUGUAUCUGGACUCUACUGCUUCAGUUUUCUGGCUGUGGGUUCAUAUGAUGGAAUGUUCCUUUGUCUAGAAGCGUUGACUCAACACAGAAAUCUAGAAUGUCAGAGAGAACGAUGAACUAGAAAGAACCUUUCUUCCUGACAUCCAGUUGUAUGUGUUUGUGUGUGUUGGAUGGAAUAACAUUCAGUCGUACAUGCCCCACAAAAGCAGUGGUACGACUCAGAUACACCUUGAGCAUUCCUCCAUGAAAACUUACAUGAACUGUAGCUGAAAGGCCGUUCUGACAUAGGAUAGCUAACUAGGCAUCACCUAAAAAGAAAAGGAAACGCAUCAUGCCAAAAAAGCAAAAAGGGUAUGUAGAUCUGCAUAACAUUUGCAUAUAUAAAUAUAUACCGUAUUUUUCGCUCUAUAGGACGCACCCGACCAUAGGACACACCUUGUUUUAGAGGGGGAGAAUAAGACAAAAAAAUUAUUCUCCCCCUCUCUGCGCAGCGCCCCUUCAGCGAAGCAGCAGGAGAAACGGAGCCCCUUCCAUUUCUCCUCCCGCUUCGCUGAAGGGGCGCUGCGCAGAGAGGGGGAGAUUUUUUUUUUCUUGUUCUCCCCCUCUAAAACAAGGUGCGUUCAAGGUGCGUUCAGUCGCCUUCAGGCAGCUACCUUGGAAGCCUGGAGAGCGAGAAGGGUCAGUGCGCACCAACCCGUUUCGCUCUCCAGGCUUCAGUGAAGGCAACCCGAAGCCUCCAGAGCGCGGCGGGAGUUCCCGCUCUGGAGGCUUUGGGUUCCUUUCGACCUGCUCUUUGGGGCUCCCCAGCUUGUGGGCCUGCCGGUGGGGGGAAGCGCACUUUCCCCCACUGCCAGCCUCAAAGAGCAGGUCGGGGCUGGUGGGGGAAGCCCAGGUCCCCCCCCCCCAGCCCCAUGGACCACACAUGCGCUCCAUAAGACGCACAGACAUUUCCCCUUAGAUUUUAAGAGGAAAAAAGUGUGUCUUAUGGAGCGAAAAAUACGGUAGAUAUUAUGUAUUUUUAUACUUUCAACUGCCCUGUGAUCUAUGGAGGAAGGGUGGUAUAUAAAUUUCAUUGAUGAUGAUAAUGAUCAUGUUUUAUCUUUUUAUCUUAUUGCACACAGCAUCGGUAGGUUUUGGUUGUGAAGCGG